AUACGGAGGGUGCGAGCGUUACUCGGAGUCACUGGGCGUAAAGCGUCCGUAGGCGGUCGGGUAAGUCGGGUGUGAAAGCUCCGGGCUCAACCUGGGAAGUGCACCCGAUACUGCUCGACUCGAGUGCGGGAGAGGAUGGCGGAAUUCCCGGUGUAGCGGUGAAAUGCGUAGAGAUCGGGAGGAACACCAGUGGCGAGGGCGGCCAUCUGGCCCGCAACUGACGCUGAGGGACGAAAGCGUGGGGAGCAAACAGGAUUAGAAACCCUAGUAGUCC
RNAcentral lists this ribosomal RNA (274 nucleotides) under uncultured bacterium. Its description in RNAcentral is "partial 16S ribosomal RNA". It matches the Rfam family "Bacterial small subunit ribosomal RNA", at positions 523 to 796 of the family's 1533-position model. The record is from RNAcentral.